GCCUGAUGGGGCUUGGUUGGGAGGCGCCUGAUGAUGUAGAAGGCAAGUGAACAGAGGCACUUGGUGGGACAGAAGUUGGGCUCAGGUGAUGCGGCGGUCGGAGAGAUGCUGUGGAGGAGUUGGCCGGCGACCCCUUUCCUUCUAGCUUCAACGAGUCUGCUGUUGUGAUGGCCGAAGGAAGAGCAAGGAGGGGGAGGAGGGAUGGCAGAGGAGGUUAACAUCUAUAGCUUUUAUUAUGAAGCUAAGCUUCUAGACACACAUCUGAUCUGGUAGUUAUUUGUAUGAGUUGACAAGACAUUCGACAUGAAGCUAUUAGAAUA
Molecule: long non-coding RNA, 320 nt
Organism: Aegilops tauschii subsp. strangulata
Lineage: Eukaryota; Viridiplantae; Streptophyta; Magnoliopsida; Poales; Poaceae
Source: RefSeq, a predicted model, not a curated record